GGUACCAGGCGAGGACAGCAGCUGCAGUCAGGACUCCAAAGCUUCAAUUUGAGGGAGGGACUGUUCUGUUUAUAGAACAUCGGAGACGCUGCUCCGGUAUAUUCAUCGGGACGCUUCCCGGCAUGAGUUCAUCGGGACGCUGCCCGGCAUGAGUUCAUCGGGACGCUGCCCGGCAUGAGUUCAUCGGGUCGCUGCCCGGCAUGGUUCAUCGGGACGCUGCCCGGCAUGGUCAUCGGAGGCGCUGCUCCGGCAUGUACUUUGACAUCAUUGACACCCGAAGGUGCCGUUGUGAGGAAGACCUGCAACAGAAAAGAAAAGGUGGUGGAGAGCGCUGGAACGAGGUCUGAACCUUUUGUCUUCCAAGCUGCUUUGCUGCUUUCUCCUUCUUGUUUUUCCACGUUGUUGUACUCUGUUGCCUCCUCCGUUGCGUCCUCCUGUUGUCUUCCCCACGUUGCGGCCCUCUUUUUUCCUUUUCAUGUGGUGCUUAUAUACUGCACCCGAGAUGAGUUUGACUUGUAUACAACACGGAGGGUUUUAGAGUUCAACUUGAAGUGAACUAGUUGGACAUUUUAUCUCCUUUUUCUUUUGACGUGAAGACUGCAGCUUCUUUUUCAAUUGCUUGUCUAGACUUUGAAACAAGCUAGAAGUCAGCAGCUUAAUUGUUUCUUUUGUUUAAA
Long non-coding RNA from Rosa chinensis, 677 nucleotides. RefSeq lists it as uncharacterized. The transcript is spliced from 2 exons. The record is from RefSeq and is a predicted model, not a curated record. Lineage: Eukaryota; Viridiplantae; Streptophyta; Magnoliopsida; Rosales; Rosaceae.